Molecule: microRNA, 21 nt
Filed under: Gossypium raimondii (Peruvian cotton)
Lineage: Eukaryota; Viridiplantae; Streptophyta; Magnoliopsida; Malvales; Malvaceae
Description: gra-miR8726
Source: miRBase by way of RNAcentral
CGAUGGAGUCUGGAGACAAAA